AAUAAAAAACAUGUUAAUAAUGCAUAUGUACAAAAAAAAUGCCUAUAGCAUUACUAAUGCCAUAUUGCCAUAGUCAAAUCCAUAUCACCCUGACAACAAAUGACUAAAAGCUUGUCCAUUUUUUUCAGUCACAGAUUAUUCAUUAAGCCAGAGAAGCCACAUUCAACAGAGAAAAGUUUAUUAAAACACUUCCAUUAACUGUAAGAGUAAUCAUCCUAUAGGGUGGAAAGUGUCUUCAUUUGGGCUAAAAUGUGAGAUAUACCGUUGCUAUGGUAAUAUGGCGAUGGCUGUAGCCCUCCUCCCAGCUGUUGGUGGGUUUUGUGUUGGAGAGGGUGAGGGUAAAAGAAUGAGAGAGUGUUUGUGUGCCUGCACACAUUCAUUGAUGCUGCCUCCGUGCUGUGCUCCCCUUUUCAGUCUUCAGAAUAGUGUCUCUACUAAUCCGUGAAAGUUGCAGCGCUCUGAACCGGCGGCCAAGGCUUUUCCCACUGAACCGAGGCCUGAGGUCUGUGCUCUGCUUCACACUUGAUUGGUCCCUCCAGUGGCAAAUACUCCCCUCCCUGCUGGGCGUGGGCCUGCCCCCCUCGUUGGGCUGCUCCGCUCUGCCUAAUCGCCUUCUCUCUUCCAUAAUUACCAGUGCUGAGCAGAGGACUCGACAACACGCCAUUAAAGUCUGGCAAACCUGUCCUCCUCACACACCCAGCAUUUAGCAGCAGCCCAGAAACAGGCCCGAGACCGGGCUCAACUCCACCAGCAGAACACCUGUUCAUGCAUGGGAUGCCCGGCAGCGCUGUGGAUUUGGCCGGUGCUGCUGCAGACUUGAAUAAAGACAGGGGGUUGGCAGCUGUGCUGUUGUCCUCCUCCCCCUGCGAUGGAGGUGAUGUGUUUAUUUGGCUUGCAUUGAGAAGUUGUGAGAUGUAACUAUCUACUCACUGCACUCAGCAGACUGCCAGAGAACCUGCAGAAUCAAACCGGCGCACAAUGACAGCAAUCAGCUGUGGAAGACCCCAUAGUUAUUACUCUUUUUAAAAAGUAAAAAAAAAAAUCCCUGCAUUUUGUUUCGUGCUCUGACUCAUUUACACUGUCAACUUAUCUAAAACACAACUUACUGUCUCUUCCAAGACCUAAAUUUCUUCCAAAGUCUGCCAAACUGUAACUAGAACUCCCCCUCCUGCAUUCAUGUUAGUCUCACAAGGUUUCUAAAUUUGCAAAAUCAGGGAGAACAUAUGGGACUGCACAGGUGAAAUGUGGCGACCUGGCAAACAGUCCAAAGACUCGUGAGACUUGGGAGCAUGUCAGAAAAUGCUAGGAGUACUGGCACAAACAGAACCCAGAAUGUGGAUCAGACAGAAACCCAGCACUCGUUAGUUGAUUUCUCUCUUAUUAGGAACAUUUUUAAUGCUUUGCUUGGACUGGCAGAGUCCUGCCAGCCACCCUCUUCAAAUGGCCCAGGCUCUGUCAGAGCUGAUCAAAAGACAUUUCUUCACAUCUCCAGACGCCAGGGAAAAAAGGAGAAGAAAAGAGGGAGAGAAGAAAAGAGCCAGAAGGGGGCAUACUGCUCUCUCUUUACUCGGGUCUUCUGGUGAAUGAGGACUUUUCACAAUACCCUCUCCUUUUUUAUUUAUUUUUUUUCAUUCUACCACUGGUUUAAAAAAAAAAAAAAGGAAAACACAUAGAAGAAAAAAUACAUUCCCCAUCCCGUUUUGCUGAAUUUUUCUUGCUAUAUCAAAAACAAUUAUCCUCAGGUGAAGAAUGCACCUGCACAAUUCCAGAGAGAGAAAGAGGUCUUUACAAAAGUGAGUGGCUUCCAGGCAGCCAAGACCCCCUCGAAGUGGUAAUGAAAAGUGCAACUUUAGCCUCCCAGCUGUAUGUCUCAAUCUAUAAUCCUUUCCCAAAAACCUCACCAUAGAGCCGCCUACCACUCCUAUGGCGUUCCCAGCCUUUGCCGGGCUGGGCCUGCACUGAUUUAUGUGGGACUCCCGUGUCAUACUCCCGACCUGAAAGGAUUUGCUCUCCUAUAUUUACCGGGGUGGUCAGGGCAGCUCUCUGGAAGCACACUCACUCCCCACCUUUUUACUCCUCUGUCUCCGCAGCGUGGAUGUUUGGGACCUGAUCAGAAACAGCUGAGACUCCAGUGUUUUUAUGUGGAACUGUUCUCCCCAGAGGUCAGAGUCCAUGCACUCCUGUCUCACAGCCACAUGGCCGCGUUUUGGUAUGCAGAUACACAGACGCAGGCCGCCUGGCUUCAGUGGCCCACUCAAUGGCUGAUGCCCUUGACAAGUCAAGAAAUGGAUCCUGUCAGCCUCCACAGCAUUUAGCACCACAAUUAUCCCCUUCCACAGCCUGCUGUAAACCACACCAGGCGGCAGUUGCCACUCAGUGAUGAGCAUGAUGUGGCGCACCAUCUCUGGGGAUGGGUCAUCUAAUCUGGGAGAAGUGGCCAUUCUCAAGCGAUCACAACUCGGACCAAAGUGGCCAAGAUUUGCUCCCUGGAUGGGAAAAAUGAGUCACUGCAUAGGUUGUGCGUGCAGGACCCAUCCUCUGGCCUUCACUGACCUUUGGCUCUGACAGUGGCUAAUGGAGGGUUGGCCCGCGAUCAAUGCACUGCGAGACUGGGCUCCCGAAUGUUGCUCUUUCACCGGGCCAGGAUGGGAGCGAUGCUGCCAGAAGCCACGCUGUGGACCCAUCGACCCUGCCACUUUCCCAUCCGUGGGUGACAGCUGCAGCGCCAAGGAGCUUAGGGACGCCACGCUGCCCUGCCACGUACGAAGGACAGCCAGCAAUUCUGUCUCUGUGGCAGCGGGAGGGAAAGUCACAAAUGAUCACUUCUGAAUGUCACAUCUAUGUAAACAUCCUCUGCAUGUGACAGCAGUCAAACCUGUACUAAAGACAAAGCGGGAACUUCCAUUCGUGUUUUUGUCUGAAAACUUUUCUUUGAAGCCACUUAUUUUUCUGAAGUUGCACUCUGUUGCAUGAAACUGAACUACAGUCAAAGUGACAACUGCAUACGACAUUGUGUUAAGCACUUGGACCAGAAGUUUAGAGCCUUUUGUAUGUUAAAAGCAUAUGAACAGAAUCUUACAACUAUCUUUUUUUUAUUCAAAUGUAAAAAGUUGUGUUUAUAGUUGAAGUGUUUAUUUUUUUAUUUAUUAGGAGGGGAGGAGGGCUUCUAUUUGGCAUUCGAUGUGCACUUAAAAUGUUACCGUAGGGAAUAUAUCUUCAUUUUUGCACCAUGUUGCUAGGAUGCCUGAUGUUGUGCAUCAUGUAUUUUGUCACCCAGAUGGUGCACUGCUGUAUACCUUUUAUCUGAGAGCUCUUUGUUUUUUUUUGCUUUUUUUAUCAACACACAAUGCUUGCAUGAAAAUAAAGACAUUUUAUGUGCAUUUUAAUUGCAUGGGCUUUCAAUUGCAACAGCUAUUAAAACAAAAGCAGAUAAAACAAUCAAUCCAUAUGGAGACAAAAAGGAAAACAUCCAAGAGGUUUAGUCCAGAUUGUUCUUUUUAUUAUCAUUAACAGUAAUGUGCUUCCGAAGCCCUCUGUGACCCCCGCACAGCAGCACUUUAUCUCAGAAGUCAUUCAGUGGAACAAACAGGAGGCAGACGGAAAGGCAGCAAGAAA
Molecule: non-coding RNA, 3615 nt
Organism: Oryzias latipes (Japanese medaka)
Lineage: Eukaryota; Metazoa; Chordata; Actinopteri; Beloniformes; Adrianichthyidae
Source: RefSeq, a predicted model, not a curated record